UUCAACUCGUAUUCAUCUUCGUUUUUGCGGGAUGGAUCUUCAACUGGAUCAUGCUGCCAACGCAAGCUUGGUAUAAGUUCUGGGGUCUCAUUCUUGACAAGAACGACUCCAGGGCCUAUGGAGAAUCCGGUAAUCAUCAGUAAAGUUCUCAUUUUGUAUAAUGCAAAAACUUACAUUUGCCAUUCUUAUCACAGCAUCGUAUGCGAUCCUCUACGUUGUGCCUGUGAUUUUCAUAGCUUUCUUCGGCAGCAUCUACAUGAAAUACAUCAAGAUGUUAAGGUAAAGCCUUGAAACAUUAACUUACUUGUCAUCUCCGGGAAUGCUUUCAGGCUGCCAGACUCCAUACGCAACGCUUGGUCUCGUCCAGCACUGAUCAAAGCGCCAAUACUCUCGCUCAUUUCUGGAGUAGAGCUCUUUGUUCUAGCGGCAUUCGUACUCCUGUGUGCAUGGUCGACAUGGCGGCCGAUAAAAACUUUGCUGGACAAGAUCCAUGAUCCUGGACAGCAGUGGAUUGAAGGAUCCCUGUAAGAUCACGAUGACAACUUCACAAAGUCAAGUUUUUGAUCGAAAUACCUUCGGUUUUUUUUUUCUUUAUAGGUGGCUCAGAAGAUGUGAAAUCAUUGGAUACGAGCUUGGUUAUGCUGGACUCGUCCCGUUCGCUUUCCUGUUCUUCCCAGUCGCAAGAACCUCCUCAAUUCUCCACUUGGUGAACAUUCCUUUCGAGCAUUCCGUCAAGUACCACAUCUGGGUAGCAAACAUUACUUUGGUUCUCUGGACGGGUCACUCCGUUGCUUAUCUCAUUCUCUGGAUUCGUGCAAAAGAAACAAGCAAGGUUGGCAACUUAUAAGUUCUCGUCAAAAUAAGCAUACCUCUGACGAGCUCGCAUGGUUUUUGGUUUUUACUCUUCAAGUUUAUCAACCAAGGUGGAAGGUUCGACCUCGCUGGAAUCGGAGCCUCGGUGGCCUUCGCCACAAGCCUUAUCAUGUGGAUCACUGCAAUAAAACCCGUGAGAAAUCGCAAAUUCGAGAUGUUCUUCUACACGCACCAGCUCUACAUCGUCUUCAUCUUUAGCUUCGCCGUCCACGCUGGAGAUCGAGGCCUGGAGACAAUAGCGGCUGGUAUGGUCCUGUUCUUCGUUGAUAGACUCCUCAGGUACCUCCAGUCGCGGAGGCAUGUUGAUAUGGUUUCUGCAAAGCUAAUAUCCUCGGACAUGAUGGAGCUAGCCUUUGCAAAAGAUCCAAGUAAGAAUAGAGAAAAGAAAAGGAAAGUUAUCAUGCCAAAAAUCAUUGCUUUACCAGGUUUGCGAUAUCCAGCCUCGAGCAUUAUGUUUCUCAACAUCCCAGCAGUGUCUAAGCUCCAGUGGCAUCCUUUCACAGUGACCACCAACUCAAACGUGGACGACUACAAGAUCUCCGUGGUCAUCAAAUCCAAAGGAUCCUGGACAAAGAAACUCAGGAACUACGUGACCAACCCCAAGAACUAUCACGUCGACGCGAUCAUCGAAGGCCCCUAUGGACACAGCUUAGACUACCUGAUCGAGUAAGUACCAAAAAAAAAAAAAAAAAAAAGCGUCAAAAACUCACCUCGGUUCUUCUUCUAGCUACUCAAUCCUGGUGUUCGUCGCUGGAGGCAGUGGGAUCACACCCUUCAUCCCAAUUCUCAAGGAGGUGUUCUUCCAGAUCCAAACCGGCCAGAGACCACUUCCGGAAAAGAUCGAGCUCAUCUGGACUUUACGAAACUCGGACGAGCUCAGUGUUUUAGAAUCAGUGUCACCCUGGUCGAUCUGUCCAGACUUUUCCUAUCUGCUCAAUCUCCAAAUCCACGCAUACCUCACAAGACAAGACGCCACGGACCUCAAGAACAAGCCAUCCAACUCUCACGAGACAAUCCUCUUCACAGGAACGCAAUACGAGAAGUACCUCACGCACAAGAAACCAAAGUUUAAGGCAGUCACAGGCACGCAAAGCUACGCUCUCCACGCAGCAGUGAUCCUGGCAAGUUUCGGAGGAUACUUACUUCUCUCGGGAGUGAUCCGGCGAUUCAUCGUGUUCCCGCUGGAUCACAACGUCUAUCACAUCUACAACAAGCCUUCCGCGGGGACGAU
This 2104-nucleotide long non-coding RNA is filed under the name Selaginella moellendorffii. RNAcentral describes it as "long non-coding RNA (SMOE_LNC000498)". The record is from RNAcentral. Lineage: Eukaryota; Viridiplantae; Streptophyta; Lycopodiopsida; Selaginellales; Selaginellaceae.